This is a non-coding RNA of Triticum aestivum (bread wheat), 125 nucleotides long. The record is from Rfam. NCBI's taxonomy places the organism in Eukaryota, Viridiplantae, Streptophyta, Magnoliopsida, Poales, Poaceae.
GCUAUACUCCCUCCGUCCGGAAUUAUUUGUCGCAACAAUGGAUAAAAAUGGAUGUAUCUAAAACUAAAAUACAUCAAGAUACAUCCAUUUCUCCGACAAGUAUUUCCGGACGGAAAGAGUAGAUU